AUGACCUCCACCAUGGCCUGGGCCCCUCUCCUCCUCACCCUCCUGGCUCACUGCACAGGAUCCUGGGCCCAGUCUGCGGUGACUCAGCCAUCCUCAGUGUCGGGGUCCCUGGGCGAGAGGGUCACCAUCUCCUGCACUGGAAGUGGCAACAACAUUGAGCGUGGUAACUAUGUGUCUUGGCACCAACAGCUCCCAGGAAAGGCCCCCAAAUGCAUCAUCUAUGGUACUAGCAGCAGACCCUCAGGGAUUCCGGACCGAUUCUCUGGCUCCAGGUCUGGCAGCUCAGCCUCCCUGACCAUCACGGGGCUGCAGGCUGAGGACGAGGCCGACUAUUACUGCUCAACAUGGGACACCAUUCUCAAUGGUGCCACAGUGCUCCAGGCCUGUGGGGAAAUAAAUGCCAACGUCUGA
Non-coding RNA from Myotis lucifugus (little brown bat), 411 nucleotides. The record is from the annotation of a RefSeq genome assembly. NCBI's taxonomy places the organism in Eukaryota, Metazoa, Chordata, Mammalia, Chiroptera, Vespertilionidae.